This is a long non-coding RNA of Solanum pennellii, 1835 nucleotides long. RefSeq lists it as uncharacterized. The record is from RefSeq and is a predicted model, not a curated record. Lineage: Eukaryota; Viridiplantae; Streptophyta; Magnoliopsida; Solanales; Solanaceae. The transcript has 6 exons.
GUGUCACGAAUUGAGACCCCCAGUUGUUUCUUCUUUUUUAAGAGUGUGAAGUCCAACUCUUUUCAAAGAUGUUCCAUCUUCUAACACAAAAUUUCAACAUUCACCCACAUAAUAUGUAAUUAAAAUUCCCAAUUUAAAUCUACUCAUAAGCUCUGGUGUUCACUCAGGUAUGUUUGGUGUGAUUUUUCCUCAGGCCGCGCCAUUAAUAGCAGAAGUGGCUAUAGUUCCUGCUCCAUAUGUUUGAAGAUAUGAAGUUCAGGCAUGGCAAUCAUUCAAGGUCAGACCUCUCACUGCGAGAAUGCGCAAGUUUUAUGAAGGAGGUUUUCAGCAUAAAAUGAGCAGAAUGAAAGCAGCUCUAAUUCUUGGAGUCAGCAACAAUAUAGUGUGUUGAUGAGAUGAAAGAUGGAAACUACCUUUUAGGCACAAGACGAGAAUACCAAUCAAGCGAUUAGUGAAAAAUACUUCUACAAAAGUGAAGCAAGCCAGCUAAACAGACCAUCAAACUGAAGUCAGUGCUAGCAAGAAAAUUACAGAUGCUAAAUUUGCUAAAAAUUUUCAAGUUGUAUUGAAGGAGCUUCAAAAAGCUCAGAGGCUUGCGGCUAAAAGGGAGACAUUACAUUCACCUUUCAUUCCACAAGUAGUUCUUCCUUCUAGAUACUACUGUUAUUAAGUUAACUGGUAAUGACAUUGGCUACGCUGAUGGUUCUCUGGAUAAGGCUAAAUUCAUCAAACCUAGAAGUUUUGUUGUUGAUUGAAAAGGUAAUAUUUAUGUUGUUGAUAUGAAGAACAUGUGUGCAAUUAGAAAGAUUAGCAAGUCAGGUAUCUAGAUAUAGUUGUGAUAUUUUAUUAUUUUGCUAUUUUGUCUGGUCUUACUGGUUGUGUUUGAGCUGAUAUAAGUGUUUCCUAUUAAAAAUAUUAUACUUAAAAUUCAUAUCAGGAUUUUGGUUGGGGUGUAAAGUUGAAAGACUAUAAUAGUUGGAUAGUUGGAGCCAAGGCUUGGUGUUUAGUGAUGCUUGUAAGUUGUAAGCAUGCAAACUGUGAAAAUAACUUUGAUAUGUUUAGAGGAGCAAGUAAAGAAUGGCAUGCAAGGGAAAAUGUAGAAAAGCACCCACUGGACACUUUUUGUUCUUGUAACUGGAAAAUAGUCUCUGUCAUGGAGUUCCAGGAUGAAGAAUUUGAAAAAAAAAAUUGUAUUACAUAAAGAUUAUAGAGUGAUUAUUUGCAACAAGAAGAAAAUAUUUAUAUUAUGAAAUAAGAAAAUAAGAAUGAAAUAGAAAUAAUAAUAUAAUAUUGAGGAGAGAGUAAAAUAGAGAAUUGGUUGUCUGGAAAUAUAGAAAACUUUAUAUUUGAAGAGUAAAAUAGAGAAUAAGGUUGCAGAUGCCCUAAGAGAAACACUAAUUCUACAUUUGGAGGUGGAAGAUGUUGAGUUGAAACUCAAAAGGCCUAUAUAUAUUUCAAUCUUGUAAAGUUUUAAGCACGGUUGUUAUUCCAUUAUUUGUGUUGUCGUAUUCUGCUCUUACAGAAGGUUGUUUGUACAUGAAUCAACCAUCAUUGCCACAACUCGGACAAGCUAAUUAAAGUAUGUGAAUUCACAAUGCUAAAUUUAUUAUCCGUGACUUUUGAACAAUGUCUUAAGCAAACUUACUACUUUACUUAAGGAUCCUAUUGGUGUCGACUUUGAAUAAGAUAGGCUUUUUUCCAAAACAACUUGUACACAUUUUGAGUUGCUUCUUUUCUUGGUGCUGCUCCCAUCGCUGAAAGAUCCACUGAAUUGUUUAGGUAGUACUACAGUUCAUAAAGAAUGGAGAAUAAAUGCACUUACUUAGUUGCAUAAA